RNAcentral lists this ribosomal RNA (483 nucleotides) under uncultured bacterium. Its description in RNAcentral is "bacterial SSU rRNA". It matches the Rfam family "Bacterial small subunit ribosomal RNA", at positions 64 to 526 of the family's 1533-position model. The record is from RNAcentral.
GCGCGAAAGUAGACUUCGGUCUGCGAGUAGAGCGGCGAACGGGUGAGUAACACGUGGGUAACCUACCUGAGAGCGGGGGAUAACCCGGGGAAACCUGGACUAAUACCGCAUACUAUCUGAAGGCAUAAGUCUCCAGAGGAAAGCUGGCCUAUGCUUGCAAGCCAGCACUUUCAGAUGGGCCCGCGGCCAAUUAGCUAGUUGGUGGGGUAAUGGCCUACCAAGGCUACGAUCGGUAGCCGGCCUGAGAGGGCGAUCGGCCACACUGGGACUGAGACACGGCCCAGACUCCUACGGGAGGCAGCAGUGGGGAAUAUUGGACAAUGGGGGCAACCCUGAUCCAGCAACGCCGCGUGGAGGAAGAAGGCUUUCGGGUCGUAAACUCCUGUCAGUUGGGACGAAAAGUCAUCGGUUAAUACCCGGUGACGUUGACGGUACCAGCAGAGGAAGCCCCGGCUAACUCCGUGCCAGCAGCCGCGGUAAUAC